GGUGAGGCCCGGCGCCCGGGAGGCACACAGAGGGGUAUUUGUUCGCAGUGGGCGGCGAGCGAGGAGAUGCUAAUCACUGCGGAUCGCUGGGCUCCAGCUGGAGGUCAGGAGGGCUCCAGUGACCUCCGGCCCACAGACCAGAGAUGCUGCCCACCAGAGUAUGUCCUUCAUUCACUUGGCAGACCUGAUGACUGGCUUGGGGCCCAGAGGCUGGGUGCUGAGGAAAAACCCACCCUUCCCCCGAGCUCCAGACUGGAUGAACGGUGGGCGUCUUAAACUAAUGUGUCCAAAAGGUGAGCUCCUGAACCCUGCCAAAACUGCAGCUCCUCCAGUCUUCCCGAAAUGGGACAAGUCACAACGGCCUCCUUCCAGAUGAUCAGGCUCCCAGCUCUCGCCCAGCAUCCAGUCUGUCAGAAAACACUGUCAGCUCUGCCUCGGAGUUUCAGCCCCUUACCCCACCUCCAUUGCUUCAACCUGAUCUAAGCCAACAUCAUUGCUCGUUGGAUUCCUACAAUGAUAUCUGCUCAUCCCCUUCAUUCUAUUCCUGACGUAAUAGCCAGAGGGAUUUUAUUAAGAAAUAACUUAGGGGGACUCCCUGGCUGUCCAGGGGUUAGGACUCUGCACUUCCACUGCAGGUGGCACAGGUUCAAUCCCUGGUCAGGAACUAAGACCCCUCAUGCCGCGUGGUGUGUCAAAAAAAAAAAAACCACCAUCAAAGUAGAUCAUUUUGUCCGUCUGCUCCCCUGUCAAUCUGAGGAAAGCCACAGCCCUUCGUGAUAGCUCUAUUCUAUCUACACCUCCCCCACCUCUCCCACAUCUGGCUGCAGCCACACUAGCUUCCUUGUUCCUUGCAUAUACUAUGCACACGCCUGCCUCAGGGCCUUUGCACUUGCAGUCUUCCUCUUCCUGGAGUGAUCCUCCCCCAGUAUUUCUAUGGUUUGUUCUCACCUUCUUCAGGCCUUCACUCACAUAUUACCUUCUCUGAGAAGCUUUCAUUAACCAUCAUAUUAAAAAUUACAGAGCACACCUAGUACCCAGAUCUUGGUUUCUAGUACCAUUCUACAAUAAAAGGAUCCAGGGUUUCUUGGAGAGAUGGCUGAUUCUAGGACUGGGGCAGGAAGUACAUAAGAUAAGCCUGGAGCAUCUUCUUGUGCCAGAGAGUAAGGAAGUUCUAAAAAAAAAAAAAAAAAUUGAUGGGGGCAUGUCAAUGGGCCACAGGAGCUAGUGAAAGAGCUGGAACAAUUUGAGCAACAAAAUAAAGUAUUACUGGAUUAUAACCCAAAUGUAGAAUAAAUAUCUGUGAGUCCAUUAUAAAUGUGUUGAGUAAAUUAAUAAAUGGGUGAGAAGAGACCAAUCGCUCAUGCGGAAGAAUUCCAAAUAAUUUAUGUUGAUACUUCACCCUAAAUGGAGGCAGUGGAGCAUAACUUUCACUCCAGUGUGGGCUGCACGCACUUCCUUCCCAAGCGACUUCUUUCCCAAGAUGUCAGUAUGGAAAGAGGGGAGGGGAGAGUAGAGAAACCUGCCAAAUACUGCUUCAGCCGGGUGAACAGGGUCAACAUCAAGAGCCAUAAAUCACGUUGAUAACAUGUACCCUUGAUAUGACAUGUGAUGAAAAUAGCACUUCACCUCUGUGAUCUUGUUCCUGGAAACUCAUAGGCCCGGUCUGAUCAUGAGAAAAUAUUAGGCAAAUUCCAACACAAUAUACCUGACCAGGACUUCCUAGUUUUGUUGAGGUCAUCAAAAACAAAGAAAAGCUGGGCUUCCCUGGUGGCGCAGUGGUUGAGAGUCCGCCUGCCGAUGCAGGGGACACGGGUUCGUGCCCCGGUCCGGGAGGAUCCCACGUGCCGCGGAGCGG
Long non-coding RNA from Lagenorhynchus albirostris (white-beaked dolphin), 1855 nucleotides. RefSeq lists it as uncharacterized. Lineage: Eukaryota; Metazoa; Chordata; Mammalia; Artiodactyla; Delphinidae. The record is from RefSeq and is a predicted model, not a curated record. The transcript is spliced from 3 exons.